AUUGGACGCUGGCGGCAUGCCUUACACGUGCAAGUCGAACGGCAGCGGGGACUUCGGUCCGCCGGCGAGUGGCGAACGGGUGAGUAAUGCAUCGGAACGUACCCGGAAGUGGGGGAUAACGUAGCGAAAGUUACGCUAAUACCGCAUAUUCUGUGAGCAGGAAAGAGGGGGAUCUUCGGACCUCUUGCUUUCGGAGCGGCCGAUGUCAGAUUAGCUAGUUGGUGAGGUAAAGGCUCACCAAGGCGACGAUCUGUAGCGGGUCUGAGAGGAUGGUCCGCCACGCUGGAACUGAGACACGGUCCAGACUCCUACGGGAGGCAGCAGUGGGGAAUUUUGGACAAUGGGCGCAAGCCUGAUCCAGCCAUGCCGCGUGAGUGAAGAAGGCCUUCGGGUUGUAAAGCUCUUUCGGCCGGGAAGAAAUCGCAUGGAUUAAUACUCUGUGCGGAUGACGGUACCGGCAUAAGAAGCACCGGCUAACUACGUGCCAGCCGCCGCGGUAA
RNAcentral lists this ribosomal RNA (500 nucleotides) under uncultured bacterium. RNAcentral describes it as "partial 16S ribosomal RNA". It matches the Rfam family "Bacterial small subunit ribosomal RNA", at positions 30 to 523 of the family's 1533-position model. The record is from RNAcentral.